Molecule: ribosomal RNA, 434 nt
Filed under: uncultured Lachnospiraceae bacterium
Lineage: Bacteria; Bacillati; Bacillota; Clostridia; Lachnospirales; Lachnospiraceae
Description: partial 16S ribosomal RNA
Rfam family: Bacterial small subunit ribosomal RNA
Source: RNAcentral
ACGGGAGGCAGCAGUGGGGAAUAUUGCGCAAUGGGGGAAACCCUGAUGCAGCGACGCCGCGUGAGUGAAGAAGUAUUUCGGUAUGUAAAGCUCUAUCAGCAGGGAAGAAAAUGACGGUACCUGACUAAGAAGCCCCGGCUAACUACGUGCCAGCAGCCGCGGUAAUACGUAGGGGGCAAGCGUUAUCCGGAUUUACUGGGUGUAAAGGGAGCGUAGACGGCGAUGCAAGUCUGAUGUGAAAGCCCGGGGCUCAACCCCGGCACUGCAUUGGAAACUGUGUUGCUAGAGUGCGGGAGAGGUAAGUGGAAUUCCUAGUGUAGCGGUGAAAUGCGUAGAUAUUAGGAGGAACACCAGUGGCGAAGGCGGCUUACUGGACUGUAACUGACGUUGGGGCACGAAAGCGUGGGGAGCAAACAGGAUUAGAUACCCUGGUA